Molecule: transfer RNA, 55 nt
Filed under: Diphyllobothrium balaenopterae (whale tapeworm)
Lineage: Eukaryota; Metazoa; Platyhelminthes; Cestoda; Diphyllobothriidea; Diphyllobothriidae
Description: tRNA-Arg
Source: RNAcentral
AGCAUAAUAAAGUCUAUGUUACGGCCAUAGAAUUGGUAUUCAUUAUCUUAUGCUU